GCUUCUGUAGCUCAGUUGGUUAGAGUGCUGCACCGGAAUCGCAGGGCCGCAGGUUCGAUUCCUGCCAGAGGAC
Molecule: transfer RNA, 73 nt
Filed under: Paramuricea clavata
Lineage: Eukaryota; Metazoa; Cnidaria; Anthozoa; Malacalcyonacea; Plexauridae
Rfam family: tRNA
About the family: Transfer RNA (tRNA) molecules are approximately 80 nucleotides in length.
Source: Rfam by way of RNAcentral